UUUUUUUUUUUUUUUUUUUUUUUGAUAACUGCCUGGGUUUAAGGAUACAUAUGAAUAUUUUCUUUUCCCAGCUGCAGCAAGAAGUGCCUGGAUGUUUCAGAUUCCUGGGGCUUUCAGAGAUGGUUCAGGUUGACAUUGCUGUCCUCUUAGGAUAUUAAGGGGUAUUAAGGGUUUUUAUUCCGAGGACCUUCCUGCCUUUUGGUGGGUUAGAAAUAUGAUCCAGAUUAGUGUCUUCCAAAUUACAAAUGUAAGAUAGCAAUAAUACUGAAUAUUACAUUAUCAUCAUUAAAGGCUAACAUUUAUGCAGGGCUUUCACUUGGCUUUCAGUCAAUAUGCUAAGUUUUUAAUAAGAUUUGAUUCAUUUAAUCAUCAAAACAGCCCCCACCAGAUAGGUGUUUAUUAAUUGUGUGACCCCGAGUAAGUUCUUAACCCCCCUGAGCGUUAGUGCCUUGGUCUGCAAAAUGGAGAUAAUAAUAGUACCUGCCUCAUGAGGCUGUGAUGGUGAUGGAAUUAAAUAAUCCACAGAAAGUGCUUAGCCCCACCCCUAAGGAUGAAAUGAGAGCUCAGUGUGUGCUCUUGUUCUCAUUUCACAGAUCAGGAAUCUGAACUCCCACUAAAUCUUGCCUGAGAUCACUUAGCUGAGAUUUAAACCUCAAAGUGAUAUCCAUUAGCCAUUCUGAUGUACUGCCUUUCUUAGUUAAUUGUCGGUGUAAUUUAGAACAUUAAUUAUUUAAGCUGUGUCUUUUGUCCCCUGACUAUAUUAUGGUUAGGUAGAGAACAGGGCUACAAAGAUCAAAGCCCAUUGAUACAGCCCUCACUGGCCAUUCUGCAACCCACAGAAGGAUGAUGGAAGGGGCUCUGAGGGGCUGUGGAUGGAUCCACGCAUAUCCAUCACCACUAUUAGAAUAAAGCCAAGCCCUACCAUUAGUAGCUCUGGUUAAGGUGACCCUGUGUCCUGAUUCUCCCAAGCCAGUCUUGAUUUAUCACAGUCUUCCUGGUAUGAUUAUUAAUGUGUCCUCUCAUUCGCUAAAGGUCUGUGUUUAGAGAAUCAAUUAUGUGCUCACUUCACCUGUAGUCAUAUCAUCUUUAACAAAUAAAGGGCAGCAUGUUCUCAUACUCUGUUGGCUCCUUGGUCCUGUUCCGAGAUGCUCAGCAACCAUGUCUUGUAUACCUGGAUUUUUUCCCCCCUACCCCUUAUUGCCGAUUGCUUUAAACAUCAAGCUUUUCUCCUUGUAAUUCUUCUCUCCAUUCUUCCCCAACGCUUCCUGGUUUCAGAUCCUUGCUUGUGGAAUGAGGUUUAGGGAUGUAGGCUCUGGAAUCCCAUGACUAGGGUCUCCAUCCUGGCCCCACACCCACUGGCUGGCAAAUCACUUCCCCUUUCUGCAAGCCCUGGUUCCUCACCUAGGACUGGAGCUCUAGGCUGGACCUCAUGGGUUUGUUGUCAUAUGGUGCUGGGGAGUUCCCAUUGUGGCUUAGCAGGUUAAGAACCCAACUAGUAUCCAUGAAGAUGUGAGUUCAAUCCCUGACCUUGCUCCAUGGGUUAAGGAUCUGGCAUUGCCGUAAGCCACAGUGUAGGUUGCUGACUCAGCUCAGAUCUGGUGUUGCUGUGGCUGUGGUGCAGGCCAGCAGCUGUGGCUCCGAUUCGACCCCUACCCUGGGAGCAUCCAUGUGCCGGCCCUAAAAAGCAAAAAGUGAAAAAUAAGAAUAAAAAAAAAAUAUGGUGCUGGAUAAAUCUUAGCUGCCUGUGGUGGGAACCACACAGAGAUGGUGGGUUGGUCCAGCAGAUGAGUCAGGAUGCCUUCCCUGAUUUUAUCCUAUUGUCCCUGCCAGGCACACAUACACCUCACGAAACAUGAUGAAAUAUCCCUGGAUUCUGAUAUAGAAACUCUUACAAGAUUAUUUCAUUUCUGUUAAGCAAGGCUGAAGGCUAAGCAUGCAGGUCAGGAGAAGCCCAGUGGUACGAAUUGUGAACUGCAGUGCUUGUCGCCUGCCCCGUACCUGUCAGGCUACCUGGAAUUUCUCUGCUACUUUUUGCAUGGUUUUGAAAUUUUCUCUGCCUCUGAGAGUGUAUUGUUAAAAUCUCAGAGCCCCUGGCUUGGCCCCUAUGUCCUCAGGAGCCCUAAUGCUCUGACCCCAACCCUGCCUGGUUUCCCAGUAUGGUGUCCCUCACUUUAGACUUGUCUGUACAACCUCUGUUAAGUCUCAUCUAUUAGGAGCUGGUCUCUGCUAGUUAUUACAUUUGGAGGUAUGAAAACCGGGAGUUCCCAUCAUGGCGCAGCAGAAACAAAUCCAACUAGGAACCAUGAGGUUGUGGGUUUGAUCCCUGGCCUCGCUCGGUGGGUUAAAGAUCCGGCAUUGCUAUGAGCUGUGACGUAGGUCACAGACAUGACUCACAUCUGGCAUGGCUGUGGCUGUGGCUGUGGCUGUGGUGUAGGAUUGGAGCCAUAUCUGAGAUCUACACCACAGCUCCAGUGAGCCACGAUGGGAACUCCAAAAGAUAGAUUUCUGAUGACAUUGUUUUGGCACCUGAUCUGGCUGUGCUUGAAGCCAGUCUACCCUGAUUACUGAACCAGUUAAAUCCUGUUUUAUGCUUAUGCCAUUUCGAGUUCAGUUUCUGUCACUUGCCACCCCAAAGGUCCUGGUAUACGCAGCAGGAAAAUGUGUUAUCUCUCACUAAAGGGUUACAUUUCAACAACAGACAUGUUUUCAGCCUGAAUAGAUGAACUUGAGCAGUGGAAUUUUAGUCAUCAGUGUCAAGCCGAAGUGGCCAGAAUAUUCUGAAAUGGGGACACUCCAAUUCCACCACACCAGUGACUUUCUUAGUGCCGACAUUGAUUCCGGCCCCACUCAAAGGACGGACCCUUUCAGCCCGAAGGUGCACCUCGUUUGGCUUCAGCCCUGUGCGACCUCUGCAUGAGGGACCAUUUCUCAC
This 2932-nucleotide long non-coding RNA is filed under the name Sus scrofa (pig). Its description in RNAcentral is "lncRNA (ENSSSCG00025023879.1)". Lineage: Eukaryota; Metazoa; Chordata; Mammalia; Artiodactyla; Suidae. The record is from RNAcentral.